CCGUGUUUGCCCAACCCUCUAUCUUUUAUUACUUAUAGGAGUUAUAAGUUUGAUCACUGUUCGCGUUAUUUUCACAUUUCAUAUAUAAAGUAUCUAUAGAUAUAUGAGGUCAAAUUUAGAGCCAGAACACUCUCAAACUUUCAUCUACGACACUUUCGUCCAGUAAAUUUUGUUGGUGAAUAAUUUGUUCCUGUCAGAUGCUAUUUAUGUAAUUAAUGUAUUUCCUUAUAUACCAAUGGUGAAAUGUAAACGUUCCCGCCAUCGUCGAUAGUUUUUAUUUCUGGAUCAAACUUUAAAAUGGAUGCAUGUGUUAUUUUUCAGAUUUGGUUUAUCAUGGCGGAGAUCGUACAUCAGGGAAUGAGCUCUAAUAAUGAGGGUUGUAACAAGUUUAACUCUACUUGUUGUUACAAUCAGUAUUUCGAUCAGGGAACUGGCACCUGUGUAGAAUGCGAGCUGGGCAGCUUUGGCUUAAAUUGUAUGGAAGACUGUAUUAGUGGAUACUACGGUUACCUGUGCCGGAGUCAAUGCGAAUGUGAUGCUCAAUAUUGCAACUCAACUACCGGGUGAAAAAAAUCUGUUCAUAAAUACAACACUAGCGAAACAAUGUAUCUCAACGAUUCCAUAGCAGAGACAAUCACGCAGGAAGCAGGGCCGACAGAAGCCACAUAGAAUUAUGCAAAGACAAGUAUAUUUAGAUUAACCUCCACACAUACCAUAAAUGUUAGAGAGGGUGUUCCUGAAGACAAACAUUCAUAUCACCAUGACAACAAUCAUUGGAUGCCAGUUUCCUUUCUUUUGAUUGGUUCUCUUGUCACAUUUUUCAUCUUUGGCAUUCUGUUUUAUCUUCGGAGAAGACGGUAAAAUUUUGUAAAUUUUACAAUCAUCAAAUGUAAAUCUCCAAAUAGCCUUACAAUCAAUACAGAUAAUGUGUUUACUUCUUUUAGGAUUAAAACUGGUUCCAGAUACCCUGCACUCGAUGGUAAUAACGUCCAAGAAGUUGAUGGUGAAGACCCCGCCGAUACGACUCUAGCUGAUGAGGAGCAGACGGACGACUCACAAUUUAAUGUUUGUAGCGGUACUUUUCCACAAUCUCAUAAUUCAUCUUAUGCGAGUGGCGAAAUUCGGCUUGUGGAAUUGGACUUGUAACAAAGCAAAACUUGUACGAUAGAUAUGAUAACGAUUGUGAGUAUAGCCGUCUCCAGCUCAGAAAAAAAGCAAAGUAGAAUUAUCAGUCAGGACGGAACACAAAAACUAGGGUUCAUAAACAAAGACGAUGAAGUGUAUGUGUCAUUGAAACCAUCAAACAUAACGAAUUCUCCCUUCAUAAAAGCAAACACUUUACUUCGGAAUUCUCGUAUCAACAUUGAUGAAAAUGAGCAAAACACAGAAUCUUCUCAUGAUAUCAUUCGCAGUAUUUCAGAAAGCAAUCUGUUUGCUUUUCAGAAAGAUUCCCAUAAACCUGUUACACGUAUGGAAAUCUAUAUGACAAAAGAAAUACAAAGAGACGUUACAAUGGUUGACAUUGAAGACAGACCAUAUAGUCUUGUUAAGUUGUUGGAUAUUGCAGAAUAGUUUGUACACCUGAUAUUGACCACAUGCAGAUUAGAAUUGAAUUUCCAUGACUUUAUCGAUACUUUGACACCAUACCGCGGAAUUGUAAAUUCUAAUAACAGUUUGAACUGAUAGCUAUAUCAAUUGCAAAUGUCGUGGAAAUCUACUGUAUAACACGUUUUUGUUGCAUCUGGGAGUCUGGAGUUCGAUUCGCGAAACAAAGACGUUUAACAUCAGUAGUAGUUUUUUCCUUUGUCCGGUAUUAGAAACCAAGGCGUUUAGCAUCAGUAGUAGUUUUUCCUUUGUCCGGUAUUAGAAACGAAGGCUACUGUCUUUCAGCUAUAGUAUUUACAACACAGGUCCUGUGUCGCAUUGGGUGUUGGCGCAGUAAGAACUCUCAAGAAUACGAAUCAUCAUGCAUAGGUCAAAAUAUCUUAUAUGUUGCUUUUAACCUAAUUCCCGAUUGAGAGUAACAAACACAACAAAUACAACGAUUGUGAACGAAUUUGGUCUAUGUAUGUAAAAUAUAUCACUCAAUAAUUUCAUUUUGCAUUCGUAACUAUAAUAUUCUUGUCCUCGAUAACACUGCUUCAUUAAUAAAUAAAAAAACC
Molecule: long non-coding RNA, 2162 nt
Organism: Ostrea edulis (European flat oyster)
Lineage: Eukaryota; Metazoa; Mollusca; Bivalvia; Ostreida; Ostreidae
Exons: 5
Source: RefSeq, a predicted model, not a curated record